Molecule: ribosomal RNA, 381 nt
Filed under: uncultured eukaryote
Lineage: Eukaryota
Description: partial 18S ribosomal RNA
Rfam family: Eukaryotic small subunit ribosomal RNA
Source: RNAcentral
CAAUAGCGUAUAUUAAAGCUGUUGCGGUUAAAAAGCUCGUAGUUGGAUUUCUGUCAAGGACAACUGGUCCGCCCUCCGGGUGAGCACAUAGUUUGGUCUUGGCAUCUUGCUGGAAACUGUUGCUGCACUUGGUUGUGUGGCGCAGCAUCCAGCACUUUCACUUUGAGGAAAUUGGAGUGUUUCAAGCAGGCACAUGCCUUUGGACACAGUAGCAUGGAAUAAUUAGAUUGGGCUUUUGCUCCAAUUUGUCGGUUUCUGGAGCUGAGGUGAGAAUUAAUGGGGAUUGUUGGGGGCAUCCGAAUUUAGCCGUCAGAGGUGAAAUUCUUGGAUCUGCUAAAGACGGACAACUGCGAAAGCGUCUGCCCAGGAUGUUUUCAUUGA